Cebus imitator (Panamanian white-faced capuchin) is the source of this 1078-nucleotide RNA transcript. It is a transcript of the gene named heterogeneous nuclear ribonucleoprotein F-like, with no coding region annotated. The record is from RefSeq and is a predicted model, not a curated record. The transcript has a single exon. NCBI's taxonomy places the organism in Eukaryota, Metazoa, Chordata, Mammalia, Primates, Cebidae.
UUCGGGAGAGACCUCAGCUACUGUCUCUCCGGAAUGUAUGACCACAGAUACGGCGACAGUGAGUUCACAGUGCAGAGCACCACAGGCCACUGUGUCCAUAUGAGGGGUCUGCCGUACAAAGCGACCGAGAACGACAUUUACAACUUCUUCUCUCCUCUCAAUCCUGUGAGUCCAUAUUGAGAUCGGCCCAGAUGGAACAGUGAUGGGUGAAGCAGAUGUUCAGUUUGCUACUCAUGAAGAAGCUGUCGCAGCCAUGUCCAAAGACAGGGCCAACAUGCAACACAGAUACAUAGAACUCUUCUUGAAUUCGACAACAGGGGCCAGCAAUGGGGCAUAUAGCAGCCAGGUGAUGCAAGGCAUGGGGGUGUCUGCUGCCCAGGUCACUUAUAGUGGCCUGGAGAGCCAGUCAGUGAGCGGCUGUUAUGGGGCCGGCCACAGUGGGCAGAACAGCAUGGGUGGAUAUGACUAGUUUUGUUAGGAACAUUUGAGUUAUUUCUAUCAAAUUUUACACAGGCAGCCAACAAGCAGUUAAGAGGAGUUAUAAUAGAGGAAGCUGUGGGACCCAUUUUGCACCAUGAGUUUGUGAAAUCUGGAUUAAAAAAAUUACCUCUUCAGUGUUUCUCAUGCAAAAUUUUCUUCUAGCAUGUGAUAAUAAGUAAACUAAAACUAUUUUCAGCUUUUCUCAAUUAACAUUUUGGUAGUAUACUUCAGAGUGAUGUUAUCUGAGUUUAAGUAGUUUAAGUAUGUUAAAUGUGGACCUUUUACACCACAUCACUGAACACACUGGGGAGACAUGCUUUUUUGGAAAACUCAAAGGUGCUAGCUCCCUGAUUCAAAAAAAUAUUUCUCAUGUUUGUUCAUUCUAGUUUAUAUUUUCAUUUAAAAUCCUUUAGGUUAAGUUUAAGCUUUUUAAAAGUUAGUUUUGAGAAUUGUGACACAAUACUAAUACUGUAGGAAUUGGUGAGGCCUUGACUUCUUUGUACUGUGAUUUCCUUUUGGGUGUAUUUUGUUAAGUGAAACUUGUUAAAUUUUUUGUUAACUAAAUUUUUUUCUUAAAAUAAAGACUUUUUCACAAUGA